Drosophila innubila is the source of this 306-nucleotide long non-coding RNA. RefSeq lists it as uncharacterized. The transcript is spliced from 2 exons. Lineage: Eukaryota; Metazoa; Arthropoda; Insecta; Diptera; Drosophilidae. The record is from RefSeq and is a predicted model, not a curated record.
GGCUGGCAUAUCGGUUCUCAGGGUAGAGUCCCAUCCCUGGCCCGCAGUCCGAACAAUCGAUUACACCAUCGAUACACAAACAGCUGUGGCGAACGGAACUACACAACACUACAACAAAAGACGACGGAAAUCCACAACAUAAACAACAAAACCUGCAAUAAACUACAAAACGGAUCCCGGUUCCGGACCCAGGCGUACCCGCCCUGCCUGAGAUGACACCACUCCGUCAUCUCCCUCAUGUUGGCCACCGAAUGGACCUACUUCAUCCUGUGUUGGCCAUCGUGUUUCUCCCUCCCCCUACAGCAA